RNAcentral lists this long non-coding RNA (1624 nucleotides) under Rattus norvegicus (Norway rat). RNAcentral describes it as "long non-coding RNA NONRATT004543". Lineage: Eukaryota; Metazoa; Chordata; Mammalia; Rodentia; Muridae. The record is from RNAcentral.
UAGCCUGUGUACCAGCAUGUCCAGUGAGUCUUCAUCUGCAGUUUUAUCUAAUCAGAGUCAGGAGUCUGGUUAUGAGAGUGGCCCAAUUCAGUCAACAACAUAUACCUCCAAAUAAUGAUCAGGGUCCUCUAUAUCACAGCUCCAUCUCUUCAUCACUCCAAAAGGACCUGACUCAGGCUAAGAAUGGUUUCAGCUCUGUGCAGGCCACAUAGUUACACAAUCUGUUGAAGGUGCUACAGGCUCUUCAGUGAAAUCUGAAUCACCUUCCACUUCUAGUAUACCCUCUCUCAACACAACAGUGCCUGCGGCUUCCUUAUUGAUGACAGCCAAUCAGUAUUCAUCCUCCUUAAGUGUCUUGAGUCAUAAUGAGAAGAUUCCAAAUACCACCACCACACAACAUAGCAGUGCAUUGUCUACACAGCAAAACACCCUUUCUUCAUCAACAUCUUCUGGGUGUACUUUGACAUCCAUUCUUUUGCAUAUAAGUGUGGAGAGUGAGUCAAAUCUACAUUAUUCCUCCAGCACUUUCUCUACCACAUCCAGCACUGUCUCUGCACCUCCCCCACUGGUUAGUAUCUCCUCCAGUCUGAAUAGUGGCAGUAGUCUUGGCCUUAGCCUGGGCAGCAACUCCACUGUUAUGGCCUCAACUCAAAGCUCAAUUGCUACAACUUCAGGAAAAGUUCCUCUCAACCUUCCUCCUGGAGUCUCACCAUUGUUGCCUAACCCAUAUAUUAUGGCUCUGGGGCUGUUACAUGCCUACUUGCCACAAGUAUAUGAUUAUGAUGAUUUACAGAUGCUUCAGACAAGAUUUCCAUUGGAUUACUACAGUAUCCUGUUUCCCACAACCAACACUCCACUUACUGGGAGGGAUGGUAACCUGACCAUCAACCCAUACUCUGGCAACCUCACCAAGUCAUGGGUAUACCUUCUCCCCAGUCCCAGCCACAACCUUGGCCCAACACCAACAGAACCAAAUGCAGAUGCACCACACCAUGCAGCAGACAUACCUGAACCCAUUACUGCCUCCUGGCUGUAGUUACACCAGCCUGCCAUACUACACCUUGUGGGUCUCAGACCUCCAUAGCACCUUCCAAUAUGGGCCUGCUGUGUCCCCUGUGGCUCCUACCUACCUCUUCCAAGCAGUAUGAUGUGAAUGUCAGUGUGAAUGCCUCAGCCACCCCUUUUCAAAAGUCGAGUGGAUAUGGGUCUCAUGGAUACAACACUGGAAGAAAAUGUCCACCCUCUUAUAACCAUUUCUGGAUGGCUGAGAGCUAAUUUAGCCCAAGCCUGGAGCCUGUGUUUUAUGUGUGUGUGUAUAAAUUUGCACUGAAGUCUUGUUUCAGAAACCAGACCACUGAGGAGGGCCUGCUGAGCUGAGGCCAUGGCCUGAGUGGCUUGAGGAAACGAUUUUGUGGAUACCUUCUGUGGAACUUGCCCUUCCCCAUUUCCCUCUCCACCAUGUGUCUGACCCUGUCUUACCCAUUUUGAGUUCAAGUGGUAUAGCUCAUCCAAAGCAUCAAUGCACACACUUGCUCUUGCUUUUGGUUUCUGGAAGGUAUCUAGUUCCAACUUGUAACAAAAUAUUUGUAGUCUUCAAUAAACUGUGGUAUUUCUUUAAAAAAAA